GACGAACGCUGGCGGCGUGCUUAACACAUGCAAGUCGAACGGAAAGGCCCUGCUUUUGUGGGGUUCUCGAGUGGCGAACGGGUGAGUAACACGUGAGUAACCUUCCCUUUACUUUGGGAUAACUUCAGGAAACUGGGGCUAAUACCGGAUAGGAGCUCCUGCUGCAUGGUGGGGGUUGGAAAGUUUCGGCGGUUGGGGAUGGACUCGCGGCUUAUCAGCUUGUUGGUGGGGUAGUGGCUUACCAAGGCUUUGACGGGUAGCCGGCCUGAGAGGGUGACCGGCCACAUUGGGACUGAGAUACGGCCCAGACUCCUACGGGAGGCAGCAGUGGGGAAUAUUGCACAAUGGGCGGAAGCCUGAUGCAGCAACGCCGCGUGCGGGAUGACGGCCUUCGGGUUGUAAACCGCUUUCGCCUGUGACGAAGCGUGAGUGACGGUAAUGGGUAAAGAAGCACCGGCUAACUACGUG
RNAcentral lists this ribosomal RNA (468 nucleotides) under uncultured bacterium. RNAcentral's name for it is "partial 16S ribosomal RNA". It matches the Rfam family "Bacterial small subunit ribosomal RNA", at positions 28 to 507 of the family's 1533-position model. The record is from RNAcentral.